Molecule: long non-coding RNA, 303 nt
Filed under: Brassica rapa (field mustard)
Lineage: Eukaryota; Viridiplantae; Streptophyta; Magnoliopsida; Brassicales; Brassicaceae
Description: long non-coding RNA (BRAP_LNC004116)
Source: RNAcentral
CGUCUCCGAACUAAUAUACGAAUUGCCACUUGAUUGCUGAAAUUUAUGACAGAGAGCCAUAGUGUGUCAAAGCUAAGGAACUGAGGACAUGAGUAUAAAGGACAGCAAAAAGAGACACAACUAGAUAUAAGUUCAUAUAGCUCUUGCAAGAACAAAAUGAUCGUUUAUAACAGAACUCACUUUUACAGAUAGAGCGAGUGAUAGGGACACAGCACCCCUUAAUCCAGACCACGUGAGUAUGAUGGAUUCCUUCCAAUCUAAGCCAUAGCCAAAACGACGUAGCAAUGGGUACAAAACUCCAAC